GACCGCGGGAAUUCGAUUCAGGCCUAACACAUGCAAGUCGAGCGGGGUUUUCGGACCUAGAGGAGGACGGGUGAGUAAUGCGUAGGAAGCUACCCGAUAGAGGGGGAUACCAGUUGGAAACGACUGUUAAUACCGCAUAAUGUGUACGGACCAAAGUGUGGGACCUUCGGGCCACAUGCUAUCGGAUGCGCCUACGUGGGAUUAGCUAGUUGGUGAGGUAAUGGCUCACCAAGGCGAUGAUCUCUAGCUGGUUUGAGAGGAUGAUCAGCCACACUGGAACUGAGACACGGUCCAGACUCCUACGGGAGGCAGCAGUGGGGAAUAUUGGACAAUGGGCGCAAGCCUGAUCCAGCCAAGGCGCGUGUGUGAAGAAGUCCUUCGGGUUGUACAUCAAAAGGAGCGAGGAGGAAGGGGUGAGUGUUAAUAGUACUCAUCUUGACGUACUCGCA
This 449-nucleotide ribosomal RNA is filed under the name uncultured bacterium. RNAcentral's name for it is "bacterial SSU rRNA". It matches the Rfam family "Bacterial small subunit ribosomal RNA", at positions 39 to 483 of the family's 1533-position model. The record is from RNAcentral.